GCCACCUGCUGCCAUUUCCUCAUCAAGGAGUGGUGCAGCUGGGCCAAAAUCUUACAAACAACCUACAGCUCUUCCCCCUGUCCUGACCUUGCUCCCUGCCUUGCAGUGCUGGCUUCCAAAAGGAUUUGGGAAUCUUUAUGGGAAGUGAAUGCUUUUCUCGUGCUCAUUUGAGCUGUGAGUGGAAAUCUGCUGAGCUGUUGGGAAGAGAAGGGAUAAAGGAGCAAACUCUGGAGAAACACUGAGGCUGCUGCUGCUCUUCAACCCAGCCAAAAUAAAAACUGUGAAAUUCCCACAGUGCCUUCCCACGCUGUUCGAAGACGUGGAGCUUGUUCCAAGCCGGAAUUUGACUGACAUCCCUCUCCAAACACUGGAGCUCACUGGGUGAUUUUAUCUCCUCCACAGAGCAGAGAUUGCCUCGCUGAGGGUUUUCCAGCACACAAAAAGAAAGAAAGGAAGAGAACUUUUUAAUUAAACUUUUGAAGGGAACUACAGUACAAAGCUGUUCUUUAUAUUGCAGGAGAUAAAUCACUGCAAACAUUGGGAAGAGCCCAGACUUUGGUGUGUUGUGCCAGUGAAAUCACGUGUCAGGAACAAUCUGGGGUCCAAGUUUGGCUCCUGGUUGAAGGGGCCACCAAAUGAACUUGUUUGUCACUGCUUAUCAGGCUAAAGGACCAAGCCCAUGUGAUGCAGGACAUGUUUUGGUGAGGCUGGAUGGGGCCUGAAACAACUUGGCCUGUGUCUUGGGUUAUGUAAUCAAAAAAAGUGUGUUCUAUUUCAUCUGUUGAAACCGAUUGGGGAGAUGUUUUUUUCUUUAUCUCUUGUAACUCCAGAGGGGAGGAGGGUGGAUGCCUUCUGAUAACAGACCAGCUGUUAAAACCAGGUGGGGCAGUGUUUCUGAUCUCUUUCAUCAACUUUGUCUACCCUCUGGGGGAUAUCUUCUGUUAAUGGGCCAUUGAGGCUCACCAGUGACUGACACAUUACACCAUCCCAUUGGGAGAUGCUCCACCCAGUGAGGAGGAGCCAACCGUUCCUACCAAGAUAAAAACUGAGCUGUAGGAACCCCAAGCAGCCUCUUUUCCACUGGAUUCCUGGAGGAAGACAGGACCCAUCUCACCAUCACUGAACCCUUUUUCUACACGAUCAUCUCUACUCCACAGAACAACAUCUGUCACUCCAGGAGGAUUUAUUUGGACUGCUUCAAACACCCUGACCAACAGAGUGUCAGGUCAUAUCUUUGACUCUAUCAGGGUUUUCUAGGAUGUUUGUUUGUUUGUUGUACUCCUGCACUUGUAUUUUUAAUAUUCCUAGUAAAGAACUGU
This is a long non-coding RNA of Prinia subflava (tawny-flanked prinia), 1319 nucleotides long. RefSeq lists it as uncharacterized. The record is from RefSeq and is a predicted model, not a curated record. The transcript is spliced from 3 exons. Lineage: Eukaryota; Metazoa; Chordata; Aves; Passeriformes; Cisticolidae.